Molecule: ribosomal RNA, 250 nt
Filed under: uncultured bacterium
Lineage: Bacteria
Also listed under: 1 other name
Description: partial 16S ribosomal RNA
Rfam family: Bacterial small subunit ribosomal RNA
Source: RNAcentral
UACGGAGGGUGCAAGCGUUAUCCGGAUUUAUUGGGUUUAAAGGGUCCGUAGGUGGGCUGAUAAGUCAGCGGUGAAAUCCUGCAGCUUAACUGUAGAACUGCCGUUGAUACUGUUAGUCUUGAGUGUAUUUGAAGUGGCUGGAAUAAGUAGUGUAGCGGUGAAAUGCAUAGAUAUUACUUAGAACACCAAUUGCGAAGGCAGGUCACUAAGAUACAACUGACGCUGAGGGACGAAAGCGUGGGGAGCGAAC